RNAcentral lists this ribosomal RNA (427 nucleotides) under uncultured bacterium. RNAcentral describes it as "partial 16S ribosomal RNA". It matches the Rfam family "Bacterial small subunit ribosomal RNA", at positions 355 to 774 of the family's 1533-position model. The record is from RNAcentral.
UAGGGAAUAUUGCACAAUGGGCGCAAGCCUGAUGCAGCCAUGCCGCGUGUAUGAAGAAGGCCUUCGGGUUGUAAAGUACUUUCAGCGAGGAGGAAGGCGUUGUGGUUAAUAACCGCAACGAUUGACGUUACUCGCAGAAGAAGCACCGGCUAACUCCGUGCCAGCAGCCGCGGUAAUACGGAGGGUGCAAGCGUUAAUCGGAAUUACUGGGCGUAAAGCGCACGCAGGCGGUCUGUCAAGUCGGAUGUGAAAUCCCCGGGCUCAACCUGGGAACUGCAUCCGAAACUGGCAGGCUAGAGUCUUGUAGAGGGGGGUAGAAUUCCAGGUGUAGCGGUGAAAUGCGUAGAGAUCUGGAGGAAUACCGGUGGCGAAGGCGGCCCCCUGGACAAAGACUGACGCUCAGGUGCGAAAGCGUGGGGAGCAAACA